GCCGCGUGAGGGAUGACGGCCUUCGGGUUGUAAACCUCUUUCAGCAGGGAAGAAGCGCAAGUGACGGUACCUGCAGAAGAAGCGCCGGCUAACUACGUGCCAGCAGCCGCGGUAAUACGUAGGGCGCAAGCGUUGUCCGGAAUUAUUGGGCGUAAAGAGCUCGUAGGCGGUCUGUCGCGUCUGGUGUGAAAUCCCGAGGCUCAACCUCGGGCUUGCAUCGGGUACGGGCAGACUAGAGUGCGGUAGGGGAGACUGGAAUUCCUGGUGUAGCGGUGGAAUGCGCAGAUAUCAGGAGGAACACCGAUGGCGAAGGCAGGUCUCUGGGCCGCAACUGACGCUGAGGAGCGAAAGCAUGGGGAGCGAACAGGAUUAGAUACCCUGGUAGUCCAUGCCGUAAACGUUGGGCACUAGGUGUGGGGCUCAUUCCACGAGUUCCGUGCCGCAGCUAACGCAUUAAGUGCCCCGCCUGGGGAGUACGGCCGCAAGGCUAAAACUCAAAGGAAUUGACGGGGGCCCGCACAAGCGGCGGAGCAUGCGGAUUAAUUCGAUGCAACGCGAAGAACCUUACCAAGGCUUGACAUGCACCGGAAACACUCAGAGAUGGGUGCCCCGUAAGGUCGGUGCACAGGUGGUGCAUGGUUGUCGUCAGCUCGUGUCGUGAGAUGUUGGGUUAAGUCCCGCAACGAGCGCAACCC
Molecule: ribosomal RNA, 695 nt
Filed under: Isoptericola variabilis
Lineage: Bacteria; Bacillati; Actinomycetota; Actinomycetes; Micrococcales; Promicromonosporaceae
Description: bacterial SSU rRNA
Rfam family: Bacterial small subunit ribosomal RNA
Source: RNAcentral